This 210-nucleotide long non-coding RNA is filed under the name Gossypium raimondii (Peruvian cotton). Its description in RNAcentral is "long non-coding RNA (GRAI_LNC006095)". The record is from RNAcentral. Lineage: Eukaryota; Viridiplantae; Streptophyta; Magnoliopsida; Malvales; Malvaceae.
GGCGUGGAAGUCAAAAGGGCAGGUGGUGCGGCUGAAGGCAGUAGGCUAGGGUUCUGUUUUCUGAUUUGUACUUUGGGCCAUUAGGGCUUAGUUUUAGUGGGUUUAGAUUUUGGGUCUAGGUUUGGGUUGAUUUAGUAAUUGGGCAGGGGUAUUUUAUUUUAUUUGUAAUUGGGUUAUUUGUUAAUGGGCCGGGCAAAAAUUGGGUCUCAC